Molecule: long non-coding RNA, 1002 nt
Organism: Serinus canaria (Common canary)
Lineage: Eukaryota; Metazoa; Chordata; Aves; Passeriformes; Fringillidae
Exons: 2
Source: RefSeq, a predicted model, not a curated record
CACGAGACCGGCGGCGGGCGCCGAGCGGGGAGGAACCGGGGACCAGGAACCGGGGACCGGAGGACGGGGACCGGGACUUGGACUUGGACUUGGACUUGGACUUGGACUUGGUUUUGGAUUGGGAUUGGGAUUGGGAUUGGGAUGGAACUGGAACUGGAACUGGGAAUGAAACUGGGGAUGGAGACCAGUACUGGGAACGGAGACAGGGACUGGGGUUAGAGUUAGGGAGCAGGAACCGGAACCAGGGACAGAGACUUGGACAAAGACCGGGAGCCAGAGACAGGGUACAGGGACGAGGAACAGGCACCGGAACGGAGAAUAAGGGCCAAAUGCUGGGACUAGGGACCAGGAACGAAGUACAGGGACAGAGAUAGGGACUGGGGACCGGGUAUAAGAACUUGGAACAGGUACUGGGGACGCGGUGAGGGUGGCAAUGGCUUCUCUCGGGUUCCUACCCGGCCUGGCCCCUCAGCCCCGGGCAAGGGAGAACUCGACGGGCCUACAGUCCGGAGGCAUAACUAAUGUUUAUUAUUGAGGAAACAAUACCAACAAAUACUGUCCUUUAAUCACAGAAACUCUGAGGCUGGAAAAGACCUCCGAGGUCAUCGAGUCCAACCUGAGACUGAUCCCCACCUUGUCACCCCGGGCUGGCACUGAGUGCCACAUCACUGAGGUGAUGAGUAACCCUGAAGGGGAUGGAAGCACCCAAGGUUCAUAAAUCCUCAUGGACAAAUGACCCUCAAAAGUCAUUAUUUGUCUGCAAACAUCAGUGAAGUCCAGGGAAGCAGAAGUCACAUACAUCUUCAAGGAGAAACUUGGUGGUGCAGGACAGUGAGCCUUGACUUCAUUCCAAAGGCAAGUAACAACCUUGUCCUGCUUGCAAAAGAGAAGAGGAUAACCAGAACUUAUUGCUUGCAGUAGGUUCACCAGAUUUUGUCUACUGUUUUUCUCACUUUUUUUUUAAUUGUUUAAAAUAAAGUGUGCAGUUUCCUAUUUUUUAAA